CCAAAGUAGCUAUGGCCAUUCAUAUGUCUGGCAACGCUGUACUUGACUUGGACAAGGCUCGAGCCUUGCUUCAAAAAAGAAAAGCUAUAGGAGAAGGCACGGAGAAUGAGGAAGAGGAAGAUACCUCGUUAGUAGCUAGGCCAAGGGUUAGGAGACGAGUCAUCAAUGAUGAUGAAAUUGAAGAUAUUCCUGCUCAACCUCCAACCACCGAGCCUGUUUUGAUUCUUUCAGACGAGGAUACCGUGCCAAGAGGUACGUACCAACUCAGCGUCCCUUUGAUAGUGGCUUUUGGAGUAGUGAGCUCGGACCUGUUUUUGAUGAAGCCCCUCUUUCUUCAUUCAUUCCUACUUACUCUAUUCCUUUGCCAAUUGUAAAUGUUUCAUCGUCACCAUUGAUUGUUUCUGUUCCUUCACCAGUUUUGACUACUCCCACUCCUGUUCCUGGGUCAAUUUCUACAUCUUCUCCCUCCGUUCCUGCUUCAAUUCCUACUACUCUUGUGUUGUUUACUUUUUCCACUACUCCCCCCUCUGUUGUUCCAUGUUCAUCUGCCCCUCCGAUAGAAGUAAGCUCUAGCAAUAGAGGCAUGGCUAUGAGGAGUAUCACCCUCGAAGUUCCUGCCAAUCAAAGUCUUUUAAGAAAAUCUGGGGAGGCAGAUACUUGGCUCGAGCCCCUUAUUGGAGAGAUUGAGAGGAACAAAAUACAGAGCCACAGUUGCUACACCUUGAUGAAUGACAUAGUUCAUUCAACAUUGAAGGUAAUUUUCUUGACGUUGAAUGUUUUUCUUCUUUUCCUUUCUAAGUCCUGACUUUUAUGUUUUAUAACCCUAGGCUAAUCUUAUUGGGACCGAGCUGAUGGGGCGAGUCUCUUUGUUAGAGAGAAAGGAGCGUGAGUCCACAAAGGCUAUCUCUGAAGCUUGGAAAAUAGCUGAGGAUGCCAUACUUGAAGCAGCGAACUGGAAAGACCAAUUUGAGAGUGCUCAAUGGAUUAUAGAGGAAUUACAGGAGAGUAAGAUUCAUUUGGAGCAACAAACGUAGCUUAUCUUCGGAGUUGGGAAUUGCCAAUGCUUCGUGGGGGCAGCUUAAAAAAGAUAAAGAGCUUUUAGAAUGCUCUUUAUCUAAAGCAAAAUGAUGAGGUUAAAGAGCUUAAGGCCCUUUUGGAGAAGAAGGAGGAAUAUGCACGGGAGUUGGCAGAGAACCUAACUCAUGCUCAAAAUGACCUGAGGACUUCUUCAGAGAAAAUUCUUGCCUUGGAGAAUUCUCAUGCCUCUCUUGAAGCUUCAUUGGAUUCCCACCUAGCUAAGCACCAAAUAUCAAAAAAUGAUAUUGCUAUGUGGGAAAAGGAAUACUAAUUCCCAUGCCUCUCUUGAAGCUUCAUUGGAUUCCCACUUAGCUGAGCACCAAAUAGCAAUAAAUGAUAUUGCUAUGUGGGAAAAAGAAUACAAGGCUUUAGAGAAGGAGUACAAUGCCCUUGAAGAGAAUUUUAACAUAGAAGUGAGUUGGGCUUUUCUAAAUUCUCGUCGUGAUGUCUUGAUGGAGGCUACACAAGAAAAUUUUGACUUUCAAUCUGAACUGGCCAAUGUCAUGAAUACUAUUGAGAAAAGCCAACAACUUGCUGAUACUCCUUCUCCUGCCCUUGGAAGUAUUGGUACCCUUUCUCCAGCUCUUGAAGCUCAUGGAACAGAUGAGUUAUUAAAUUCUGAAGCAAUUACUGAGGUGGCUGAAGCUGUGAUUCCAGUUUCUGAAGGUGAAGCUCUAUGACACAACCUGUGGGAAUUGAGGUUCCCAUGACUACUUCUUCCCUUGCUGAAACUUCAGGCUUAGCUGAAUCCAUACCUAUUGCUGCUUCUUCAAAAGUUGUUACCAUGCCUAUUGUUGCCUCUGAAAGUGAGGUUACAACUUUUGAAGUUCCAACUUCUUCAGUGAACAAUUAAGUUUUUGCUGUUUUUGUUCUUUUUUUUUAGUACUGUUGAUAUUAUUCCUUGACAAUAUUUUAAAGGAUCUUUUGAUGAAGUCCCCAGUUACUAGAAUGGGGCAUUUGUAAACAAAUAUUUGUG
Molecule: long non-coding RNA, 2053 nt
Filed under: Nicotiana benthamiana
Lineage: Eukaryota; Viridiplantae; Streptophyta; Magnoliopsida; Solanales; Solanaceae
Description: long non-coding RNA (NBEN_LNC021124)
Source: RNAcentral